This 1119-nucleotide ribosomal RNA is filed under the name Rhodotorula mucilaginosa. RNAcentral describes it as "eukaryotic LSU rRNA". The stretch from base 526 to 1119 matches the Rfam family "Eukaryotic large subunit ribosomal RNA", at positions 1 to 610 of the family's 3401-position model. The record is from RNAcentral. Lineage: Eukaryota; Fungi; Basidiomycota; Microbotryomycetes; Sporidiobolales; Sporidiobolaceae.
AUAUAGGACGUCCAACUUAACUUGGAGUCCGAACUCUCACUUUCUAACCCUGUGCACUUGUUUGGGAUAGUAACUCUCGCAAGAGAGCGAACUCCUAUUCACUUAUAAACACAAAGUCUAUGAAUGUAUUAAAUUUUAUAACAAAAUAAAACUUUCAACAACGGAUCUCUUGGCUCUCGCAUCGAUGAAGAACGCAGCGAAAUGCGAUAAGUAAUGUGAAUUGCAGAAUUCAGUGAAUCAUCGAAUCUUUGAACGCACCUUGCGCUCCAUGGUAUUCCGUGGAGCAUGCCUGUUUGAGUGUCAUGAAUACUUCAACCCUCCUCUUUCUUAAUGAUUGAAGAGGUGUUUGGUUUCUGAGCGCUGCUGGCCUUUACGGUCUAGCUCGUUCGUAAUGCAUUAGCAUCCGCAAUCGAACUUCGGAUUGACUUGGCGUAAUAGACUAUUCGCUGAGGAAUUCUAGUCUUCGGAUUAGAGCCGGGUUGGGUUAAAGGAAGCUUCUAAUCAGAAUGUCUACAUUUUAAGAUUAGAUCUCAAAUCAGGUAGGACUACCCGCUGAACUUAAGCAUAUCAAUAAGCGGAGGAAAAGAAACUAACAAGGAUUCCCCUAGUAGCGGCGAGCGAAGCGGGAAGAGCUCAAAUUUAUAAUCUGGCACCUUCGGUGUCCGAGUUGUAAUCUCUAGAAAUGUUUUCCGCGUUGGACCGCACACAAGUCUGUUGGAAUACAGCGGCAUAGUGGUGAGACCCCCGUAUAUGGUGCGGACGCCCAGCGCUUUGUGAUACAUUUUCGAAGAGUCGAGUUGUUUGGGAAUGCAGCUCAAAUUGGGUGGUAAAUUCCAUCUAAAGCUAAAUAUUGGCGAGAGACCGAUAGCGAACAAGUACCGUGAGGGAAAGAUGAAAAGCACUUUGGAAAGAGAGUUAACAGUACGUGAAAUUGUUGGAAGGGAAACGCUUGAAGUCAGACUUGCUUGCCGAGCAAUCGGUUUGCAGGCCAGCAUCAGUUUUCCGGGAUGGAUAAUGGUAGAGAGAAGGUAGCAGUUUCGGCUGUGUUAUAGCUCUCUGCUGGAUACAUCUUGGGGGACUGAGGAACGCAGUGUGCCUUUGGCGGGGGUUUCGACCUCU